UGGGGAAUAUUGCACAAUGGGCGAAAGCCUGAUGCAGCAACGCCGCGUGAGUGAUGACGGCCUUCGGGUAGUAAAGCUCUGUCUUUGGGGACGAUAAUGACGGUACCCAAGGAGGAAGCCACGGCUAACUACGUGCCAGCAGCCGCGGUAAUACGUAGGUGGUAAGCGUUGUCCGGAUUUACUGGGCGUAAAGGGUGCGUAGGCGGACCUUUAAGUGAGAUGUGAAAUCCCCGAGCUUAACUUGGGGGCUGCAUUUCAAACUGGAGGUCUAGAGUGCAGGAGAGGAGAGUGGAAUUCCUAGUGUAGCGGUGAAAUGCGUAGAGAUUAGGAAGAACACCAGUGGCGAAGGCGACUCUCUGGACUGUAACUGACGCUGAGGCACGAAAGCGUGGGGAGCAAACAG
Molecule: ribosomal RNA, 403 nt
Filed under: uncultured bacterium
Lineage: Bacteria
Description: bacterial SSU rRNA
Rfam family: Bacterial small subunit ribosomal RNA
Source: RNAcentral